This is a non-coding RNA of Oncorhynchus mykiss (rainbow trout), 2833 nucleotides long. The record is from RefSeq and is a predicted model, not a curated record. Lineage: Eukaryota; Metazoa; Chordata; Actinopteri; Salmoniformes; Salmonidae.
UAAAAUACAGUGCUACUUGAAGACAAUGGCAGCCCCAUUGGCAUACGGCAGACUAUGGAGAUCAGCGUCUCGUUUCCAGAGGUGGAGGUAAUUAGGUUUAUUUUUCACUUCUCAUUUUGCAAAGGAGUGCCGGGUCGAAUUUCUUGGAGAACUGUCAGGCCCGUAGUGACGCAGAGUGAAUGCAAAUCUACUCAGCCUUUAGCCCCAUUUGUAAUCCUGUAUUAUUUUUAUUUAAUCAUUAAUAUUGGACACAUUUUAUUUUGACUAAAACAUCUCUGGAAUAUAUACAUAUUUUCCUCCACUGUUCAGGAUAUGUCCAAAGAUUGGUAUUUUAAUACGUUUGACUGCGUUAGGAAAACUACUGUCUGCUAAGAAUACAGCCUUGGCAGACAUAAGCAGUCCACAUUCAUGUGGUCUAUUACGCUCAAUCACACUCCAGUCCAGAGGGUGGCAGUAAUGCACUCAACAUCUGGUUUGCACACUGAAGAACAAACAAAAAGGGGGGAAUAAGAAGAACUCUUAUAGUAGUGGCUGUGGUUCUGUGAAAGAACGUCUUUGUUUCGCGCAUAGGAAUGGCUUGUCUUAUUAAUGUUGGGUCGACAUACUCAAAUUAUACAGACUUUAAUAAUGCGCUCACCGCAUUCGAAAAUGAGACUUUCGUCCAGUUUUACCGCCGCGACGCAAGAACAAUUGAAAAAGUCAAACGAUUAAAUCCAAAGCUCCAUUACAAUCCUGAGUUGAAUUAUGUGACCAUACAUCUGACUUGUAUACACGGUGGCAGAAAUGUCUUAUCACAUUAUAAAGGAGUGCGUCCGAAAACGAGGUAGCUAACUUCCAUUUGUAGGUGACUUUUUUUUGCUUGUGUCCAUAGUAAUUUAGCCUACAUAUCUGCGGACAGGGGGCACUGUUUUGCAGCCACCGUCCGUCAUAAGAAUAUUUCAAUGUAAUGUUUUCCAGGACAAUAACUUUUUUUUUUGUAAUGGGGACAGUAUUAAAACGAACUUUUUUUUAAAAUUAGAAAUGUAUUAAGUUUUACAUUUGUUUGAACAAUGCGAAAGAAACAAGAGGUGACCAAAGGGAUUCGAAUGGUGAUGGACACUGACACAAAGCUAAGAGAACAGGCAAGAAAAAGGCAGCCUGGAUCUGGAGCAUUGCCAUUACGUUGCCACAUCGGUGUAGUGGUGGUGGUAUUUUUUUUUUUUUUACCUGUCCUCGAACAACCACCCGGAAGUCUCAGCUUACACUCCGGUUCGCUACGUGGACUCCAGUGGUAAUCAGCUUGGUAAUAACAGGCUACAGUUUACCAACCUUUUGACCUGUGACAGGCCGGAAAACUCUGGUUAUCCACCUACGUGCGCAUGACAUUUGUCAAUGGGUUUCGCGUAGCACUGAACCAUUACAAAUAUAAUUAUAUUUCAAUGCACAGAACGUUAGCCCGGUCAAUUCGAAAAAUGCAUUGAGAAGCCAGUUCCAACACACACAUGUAUAGCUGGCAGGGUUACACAUGUGGUUUCCAUAUAGGCAAUAACAGAUAUUCUUUACUGCUGCUCUACUCGGUCUGAUAAGUUAUGAUUCAAUUCCUAUACUGUGUCUUCUCCAUUCAUUCCGACAUAAAGGUGCAUGACGAGGUGUAGCAGACAUGCUUUAGUCUUUCAAAGAAGACGCGUUGUCAACGACAGUCAAACUAUCGUCAAGCACAAUAUUGCGGGUAAAGAAAUUGUUGACAAACUUAGAUUUUGGAGUGUAAUGUCCCAUUUUAAUGUUACUGCUGUUCUGACUGUCGUUAAAUGCACCUCUAAGCGUUCGAGGAGGUUCGAGAAGAAACUGGUGCUUGACGUGGACAUGGGGGUGGAUGACGCUCAGGCCAUCAUGAUGGCUCUUGCAGCCCCCAACGUGGAGGUCCUGAGGAUCACCUGCGUAAGCGGCUACACCUCCCUGGAAAACUCCAGCAGGAACACACUGCGAGUCCUCAGGGUCUGCCAGAGACUUGAGAUCCCAGUGUUCGGUGGCACUGCGGAGCCUCUGAUGGGCCACCCCCUGUCGGUAGGCUCCUUCCACGGGCUGAGUGGCGCCCCUGACCCAGAUGCCCCGGGCCUGGAGCUGCUGCAGACAGAAGGGGCUGUGGAAGCCAUCAUCAGGCUGGUCAAUGAGAACCCUGGAGAGGUCGGUAACAAAAGGGUUAGGUUCCUAGGGACUAUGAACAGAUGGUGGGAUAUCCUGCUAUGGCCCCACUUGUCCCAUCUGUCUCUAAUCUGCACCCUACAGUCGUUCUGUGACAACUGGCUGGCCCAGGACUCAGACAAGGCCCAGGACUCAGACAAGGCCCGCUUCAUGAAGAACAUCUUCAAACACACCGCUACCAACGUGAGAUGACGGCUGGCCCGGGUUUCGUGACGUGCAACUCGUACGCCAUGGCGACGGCCAUCGAUGGCGGUUUUGUGUGGGUGUCUGAGCCGGUGGCGGUUACCGUGGAGCUUCAGGGGACCGGCACCCGGGGCAUGAUGGUCCUGGACAAGCUGGGAGUCCUGGAGAAGGAGCACCAAGUUGUCAUCAUGAGGAGUGGACCUGGAGAGCUUCAAGGAGAUGUUGAUGGACUCCCUGAAGUAAUAAGGAAACUACACUGAUACCGCUGUCCCAUAUUACUUUAAAUAGUUUAUUUUUACAAAAUUAUAGGGGUGGGCUCCAAAAUUCCACUCUUCGUAAUGAGUUUUGUACAGAUACACAGUGCCUUGCGAAAGUAUUCGGCCCCCUUGAACUUUGCGACCUUUUGCCACAUUUCAGGCUUCAAACAUAAAGAUAUAAAACUGUAUUUUUUUGUGAAGAAUCAACAACA